UGCAAGUCGAGCGGCAGCGCGGGGGCAACCCUGGCGGCGAGCGGCGAACGGGUGAGUAAUACGUCGGAACGUGUCCAGUAGCGGGGGAUAACCUGUCGAAAGAUAGGCUAAUACCGCAUACGAUCUACGGAUGAAAGCGGGGGACCGCAAGGCCUCGCACUGUUGGAGCGGCCGAUGUCGGAUUAGCUAGUUGGCGGGGUAAAAGCCCACCAAGGCGACGAUCCGUAGCUGGUCUGAGAGGACGACCAGCCACACUGGAACUGAGACACGGUCCAGACUCCUACGGGAGGCAGCAGUGGGGAAUUUUGGACAAUGGGGGCAACCCUGAUCCAGCCAUGCCGCGUGAGUGAAGAAGGCCUUCGGGUUGUAAAGCUCUUUCGGCGGGGACGAAACGGUUCGUGACAACACCACGAACUAAUGACAGUACUCGCAGAAGAAGCACCGGCUAACUACGUGCCAGCAGCCGCGGUAAUACGUAGGGUGCAGGCGUUAAUCGGAAUUACUGGGCGUAAAGCGUGCGCAGGCGGCUCCUUAAGUCAGAUGUGAAAUCCCCGGGCUUAACCUGGGAACUGCGUUUGAAACUGAGGGGCUAGAGUGUGGAAGAGGGGGGUGGAAUUCCAGGUGUAGCAGUGAAAUGCGUAGAGAUCUGGAGGAACACCGAUGGCGAAGGCAGCCCCCUGGGUUAACACUGACGCUCAUGCACGAAAGCGUGGGGAGCAAACAGGAUUAGAUACCCUGGUAGUCCACGCCCUAAACUAUGUCAACUGGUUGUCGGGGGAUUGAUUCCUUGGUAACGAAGCUAACGCGUGAAGUUGACCGCCUGGGGAGUACGGCCGCAAGGUUAAAACUCAAAGGAAUUGACGGGGACCCGCACAAGCGGUGGAUUAUGUGGAUUAAUUCGAUGCAACGCGAAAACCUUACCUACCCUUG
Molecule: ribosomal RNA, 930 nt
Filed under: uncultured beta proteobacterium
Lineage: Bacteria; Pseudomonadati; Pseudomonadota; Betaproteobacteria
Description: bacterial SSU rRNA
Rfam family: Bacterial small subunit ribosomal RNA
Source: RNAcentral